CCUACGGGUGGCAGCAGUGAGGAAUAUUGGUCAAUGGGCUUACGCCUGAACCAGCCAAGUCGCGUGAGGGAAGACUGCCCUAUGGGUUGUAAACCUCUUUUGUCAGGGAGCAAUUGGCGCUAUGUGUAGCGUUAUCGAGAGUAACUGCAGAAACAGCAUCGGCUAACUCCGUGCCAGCAGCCGCGGUAAUACGGAGGAUGCGAGCGUUAUCCGGAUUUAUUGGGUUUAAAGGGUGCGUAGGCGGAAUGCCAAGUCAGCGGUAAAAUCGCGGGGCUAAACAUAGAUCCGCCGUUGAAACUGGCGUUCUUGAGUAGGCGAGAGGUAGGCGGAAUGCGUGGUGUAGCGGUGAAAUGCAUAGAUAUCACGAAGAACACCGAUUGCGAAGGCAGCAUGCCGGAGCCCAACUGACGCUGAAGCACGAAAGCGUGGGUAUCGAACAGGAUUAGAUACCCCAGUAGUC
Molecule: ribosomal RNA, 460 nt
Filed under: uncultured bacterium
Lineage: Bacteria
Description: partial 16S ribosomal RNA
Rfam family: Bacterial small subunit ribosomal RNA
Source: RNAcentral